GGGCCUUUGUUCAGUGAGGAGCAGUCAGUCUGCUUAUAUGGAAAACACACUAUGCUAAGCAGAAAGCUGUCUGUUUAGAGGUCUCUUUUCAUCUUGAAAGAGAAGAAAAACAGUAGCAAAGGACUUCCUUGUCAAAUCCUAGUUCAAGUUGAACUUCUAAAGGCUUGGAGGAGGCAUUUGUGACACCAAAGCUUUUAGGAGCAUUGAAAUGAAAACUUGAAGGGGAAAGAAAGCGUUUUCCUCCGUCUGUGUCUUGUUGCCUGGAGAGCCGUACGAUUUCACUCGGCUCUGAUUUUGUGAUUAAAACGUUGUGCAAGAUUGUGGUCACAUCUGCACCCCUGGAAGAUCCGUGGGUGAGGGUCCGGCAGCCUCCUUUCACUGAUGGGGUCUGAGCCUCGAAGGUUCAGGGACAAGACUAGGUUCAUGAUGGAAACGGCAAAGUCAGAGAUGGAGCCUGGGCCUGCGGAUUCUGGUCCCAGGAAGGAGAGUUCCAGCCGGGCUGUGUCUCCAUCAGAAGUUCUGCAAGGAGAGAGAAUAAAAUGGGAAGACAGGCUGAUACUGAAACGCACAAGGACGCUUCACCAAUCCAGUGCCAAUAUUGAAGGUGUUCAAACUCCAGUAUAAACCCCUCCCAGUGUCAAGGUCCUACUGGGAAGGUAUAGUUGGAAAAUAAAAUCCCUUGCCAGUUGAAUCUCAAAGCAGUUAAGGAUUUCUUUAAUUGACAAGAUCACAGGAUUUUUGUCCUUCUAAAUUAAGACUCCAAAAUUCCAAAUGCUUAGGUUAAAGUGUUGGAACCCUCUUCCCUGAUUUCUUAGGCUUUUCAGUCUUAGUCUGAGUCCUUGGGGACUUGAGGUUCCUUAUGCAGCUACUAAGCUGGGUUACUUCCCUCUGAAAUAGGUGUGGUGUCUUCCGGCAAUGUCUUAGUUUAAAACCGAUUCUCUUAUGAGCCUCUUACAAUCUAAGAGUUGAAAGAAGGAAAAAGAGAAAGAGGACUCACAAGAUUAGUAUUAUUUUCCAAACCCCCAAAUGCUGAAAAGUGUCCCCAUCCCAAUCCUCAAGCAUUUCUCUAAGUUAUCUCAGGAAAAACAAGGUUCUCAAGCCCCACUCUAUUUCCAAAGCCUCUUAAGGCAGCUCUGUGGAGGCGGGGGUGGAGGAAACCCUUCUGGCUUGAGCCUCAUAUUGUCUCCAGCCCAAACACAUCAUUGUCUGGAUCCCAAAAGGUGGGAAAUGAAAUGUAAAUGCCAAAAACCUUCUAUCAGUGAGUUAAUUUGUGUGUUGUCCACUCAGCAUUUUGAAGACCUUCCUGGCCAUCCUGCCUUGCUUCUUUGAAAAGGACAGCUGGCUUCCCUUCCCAUCAGGGCAUGCAGAGCCUCUGAAUUCCCAUUGUCCCUUCCAGCCUGGUGUUCUUGUCCCUUGAUGCUAAACUGAGUGUGAACUAUGGCCACUGGACUCUGUCACCCUCUGAUGGAAGCAGGUGUUUUUGGUCACAGGACAUGGUGGUCAUUUGCUCAGUCAUGUGUUCACACCUGCUUUAGAAUUUCACCCCAAGGGGGCCUGCCUUCACUGGCCCCACACAGGUUUUGAUGGGGCCAACACGCCGCAUGGAAGGCCAAAACCUGGCUUGGAAAUACUGCAUUUAACAAUCUCUUAUGAGCGUCGGCGUCCUCCUAGACCCUGGGCUAGGUAUGGAGGAUUGAGAGGUUAUUAACACACGGGGCUCACCCGGUGGAUUCCCCACCUGGCGUGCAGGACGACAACACUGUUUCUGCAUCUCAGUUCCUCAAGGAGGAAAUUAGUCAGUAUUCAUAAGGUUUUAGAAUGGCGCCUGGCACAGCAAUAGAAAUCUAGUUUUAGGGUAGGAAGGAGAUCGGCAGAAGGAUAAUCAGGGUCCCAGCAUUUAGAAGGCCUCCCGAGGGAAGCUAAGGAACUUGACUUUAGCCUGAAGGUCACAGGGAUCUAUUGAAGGGCAUAUGCAGUGGAGUGGACUGCUUACCUUUUUAACUUAGAAAUCUCCCUAUUUUAGCCUGAAAUGUGUUCAUUUGAAAUUCACAUAUUGAGUCCUAGCCUCAAGAUAUGACUGUCUACGGAGAAAGAGCCUUUACAGAGGUGAUGGACGUAAAAAGAGGCCACUAGGAUGGGCACUAACCCACCGUGACUGAUUUUUUUCAGAAGAUUAGGUCAUAGAUGACACACAGCCCAAGGGGGCCCCCACCUGAGGACACAGCAAUAAGGUGGCCUUCUGCAAUCCAAGGAGAGAGACCUUGGAAGAAACCAAUACUAGGGACCCCUUGAUCUUGCACCUCCAGCCUCCAGGAGGAGAAAAAUAAAUCUCUCUUGCUUACCCCUCCCCCACAGUCUGCGCUGUUUGUCAUGACAGCCAAGAAAACCAAUACCGCCUGGUUUUCAGGACUGGUGGGUAGAGGGAAAUUAUGUAGGGAUGCCAAUUAAGGACAGAAAAGCACUGAUCUAGGUAAGAAAUCAUGAGGGGGGGCCUCCCUGAAGAGGUAGAGAUGGCAGGGUCAAACUGAGAAGAGACGCAGGACAUAGAAUUCACAGGUUUGGGGACCCAUUUGAUAGAAAAGGUGAGACUCUAUGGAUAAUUCCCAGGUUUCUCAUUUGAGUAAAAGGAUAGAUGGUGGUUCUUUUUAUCAAGACACAUUCUAGGAGUUCCCCUUUAGGCGCAGCAGAAACAAAUCCAUCUUGUAACCAUGAGGAUGCAAGUUCGAUCCCUGGCCUUGCUCAGUGGGUUGGGGAUCCAGUGCUGUUGUGAGUUGUAGUGUAGGUCACAGAUGUGACUCAGAUCCCACAUUGCUGUGGCUGUGGUGUAGGUUGGCAGCUAUAUCUCCAAUUCUACCCCUGGCCUGGGAACUUCCCUAUGCCAGCAGGUGCGGCCUUUAAAAAGCAAAAAAAAAAAA
RNAcentral lists this long non-coding RNA (2915 nucleotides) under Sus scrofa (pig). RNAcentral's name for it is "lncRNA (ENSSSCG00035006356.1)". Lineage: Eukaryota; Metazoa; Chordata; Mammalia; Artiodactyla; Suidae. The record is from RNAcentral.